This 274-nucleotide ribosomal RNA is filed under the name uncultured bacterium. RNAcentral describes it as "partial 16S ribosomal RNA". It matches the Rfam family "Bacterial small subunit ribosomal RNA", at positions 523 to 796 of the family's 1533-position model. The record is from RNAcentral.
AUACGGAGGGUGCAAGCGUUAUUCGGAAUCACUGGGCGUAAAGCGUACGUAGGCGGUUUAUUAAGUCAGAUGUGAAAGCCCCGGGCUUAACCUGGGAACUGCAUUUGAAACUAGUAGACUAGAGUAUGGUAGAGGGGGGUAGAAUUCCUAGUGUAGCGGUGAAAUGCGUAGAUAUUAGGAGGAAUACCAGUGGCGAAGGCGGCCCCCUGGACCAAUACUGACGCUGAGGUACGAAAGCGUGGGGAGCGAACAGGAUUAGAAACCCUAGUAGUCC